Molecule: ribosomal RNA, 501 nt
Filed under: uncultured bacterium
Lineage: Bacteria
Description: partial 16S ribosomal RNA
Rfam family: Bacterial small subunit ribosomal RNA
Source: RNAcentral
AUUGAACGCUGGCGGCAGGCUUAACACAUGCAAGUCGAGCGGGGGAAGGUAGCUUGCUACCGGACCUAGCGGCGGACGGGUGAGUAAUGCUUAGGAAUCUGCCUAUUAGUGGGGGACAACAUCUCGAAAGGGAUGCUAAUACCGCAUACGUCCUACGGGAGAAAGCAGGGGAUCUUCGGACCUUGCGCUAAUAGAUGAGCCUAAGUCGGAUUAGCUAGUUGGUGGGGUAAAGGCCUACCAAGGCGACGAUCUGUAGCGGGUCUGAGAGGAUGAUCCGCCACACUGGAACUGAGACACGGCCCAGACUCCUACGGGAGGCAGCAGUGGGGAAUAUUGGACAAUGGGGGGAACCCUGAUCUAGCCAUGCCGCGUGUGUGAAGAAGGCCUUAUGGUUGUAAAGCACUUUAAGCGAGGAGGAGGCUACUCUAGUUAAUACCUAGGGAUAGUGGACGUUACUCGCAGAAUAAGCGCCGGCUAACUCUGUGCCAGCCGCCGCAGUAA